CGGGGAGGUGGAGCGGCAACAGCUCAAAUUUGAAAGCUAGCCUUCGGGUUCGCAUUGUAAUUUGUAGAGGAUGAUUUGGGGAAGCCGCCUGUCUAAGUUCCUUGGAACAGGACGUCAUAAAGGGUGAGAAUCCCGUAUGUGACAGGAAAUGGCACCCUAUGUAAAUCUCCUUCGACGAGUCGAGUUGUUUGGGAAUGCGGCUCUAAAUGGGAGGUAAAUUUCUUCUAAAGCUAAAUAUUGGCGAGAGACCGAUAGCGCACAAGUAGAGUGAUCGAAAGAUGAAAAGCACUUUGGAAAGAGAGUUAAAAAGCACGUGAAAUUGUUGAAAGGGAAGCGCUUGCAAUCAAACUUGUUUAAACUGUUCGGCCGGUCUUCUGACCGGUUUACUCAGUUUGGACAGGCCAGCAUCAGUUUCGGCGGCCGGAUAAAGGCUCUGGGAAUGUGGCCUCCACUUCGGUGGAGGUGUUAUAGCCCAGGGUGUAAUACGGCCAGCCGAGACUGAGGUCCGCGCUUCGGCUAGGAUGCUGGCGUAAUGGUUGUAAGCGACCCGUCUUGAA
This 557-nucleotide ribosomal RNA is filed under the name Aureobasidium pullulans. RNAcentral describes it as "eukaryotic LSU rRNA". It matches the Rfam family "Eukaryotic large subunit ribosomal RNA", at positions 87 to 658 of the family's 3401-position model. The record is from RNAcentral. Lineage: Eukaryota; Fungi; Ascomycota; Dothideomycetes; Dothideales; Saccotheciaceae.